RNAcentral lists this ribosomal RNA (331 nucleotides) under uncultured bacterium. RNAcentral describes it as "bacterial SSU rRNA". It matches the Rfam family "Bacterial small subunit ribosomal RNA", at positions 568 to 898 of the family's 1533-position model. The record is from RNAcentral.
CGCGCAGGCGGCUCUUCGAGUCAGGCGUGAAAGCCCCGGGCUUAACCUGGGAAUUGCGCUUGGGACUGGAGGGCUAGAGUUCGGGAGAGGAGAGUGGAAUUCCCAGUGUAGAGGUGAAAUUCGUAGAUAUUGGGAAGAACACCGGUGGCGAAGGCGGCUCUCUGGACCGAUACUGACGCUGAGGCGCGAAAGCGUGGGGAGCAAACAGGAUUAGAUACCCUGGUAGUCCACGCUGUAAGCGAUGUGCGCUAGACGUUGGAGGGCGUAGCCUUCCGGUGUCGCAGCUAACGCUUUAAGCGCACCGCCUGGGGAGUACGGCCGCAAGGUUAAA